GUUUGAUCUGGCUCAGGACGAACGCUGGCGGCGUGCCUAAUACAUGCAAGUCGAGCGGACCGAAGGGAGCUUGCUCCUUUAGGUUAGCGGCGGACGGGUGAGUAACACGUGGGCAACCUGCCCUGCAGACUGGGAUAACUUCGGGAAACCGGAGCUAAUACCGGAUAACACCGAAAACCGCAUGGUUUUCGGUUGAAAGGCGGCUUUUAGCUGUCACUGCAGGAUGGGCCCGCGGCGCAUUAGCUAGUUGGUGAGGUAACGGCUCACCAAGGCGACGAUGCGUAGCCGACCUGAGAGGGUGACCGGCCACACUGGGACUGAGACACGGCCCAGACUCCUACGGGAGGCAGCAGUAGGGAAUCUUCCGCAAUGGACGAAAGUCUGACGGAGCAACGCCGCGUGAGCGAAGAAGGUCUUCGGAUCGUAAAGCUCUGUUGUCAGGGAAGAACAAGUACCGUUCGAACAGGGCGGUACCUUGACGGUACCUGACGAGGAAGCCACGGCUAACUACGUGCCAGCAGCCGCGGUAAUACGUAGGUGGCAAGCGUUUGUCCGGAAUUAUUGGGCGUAAAGCGCGCGCAGGCGGUUCCUUAAGUCUGAUGUGAAAUCUNGGCGGCUCAACCGCGAGCGGCCAUUGGAAACUGGGGAACUUGAGUGCAGGAGAGGGGAGCGGAAUUCCCCGUGUAGCGGUGAAAUGCGUAGAGAUGUNGAGGAACACCAGUGGCGAAGGCGGCUCUCUGGCCUGUACUGACGCUGAGGCGCGAAGCGUGGGGAGCGAACAGAUACAUACCCUGGUAUUCCCGCCUAAACGAUGAGUGCUAAGUGUUAUAGGUAUCACCCUUUAAUGCUGCACCAAACCUUAAG
Molecule: ribosomal RNA, 864 nt
Filed under: Geobacillus sp. TSB-10
Lineage: Bacteria; Bacillati; Bacillota; Bacilli; Caryophanales; Anoxybacillaceae
Description: bacterial SSU rRNA
Rfam family: Bacterial small subunit ribosomal RNA
Source: RNAcentral